AUCUUUUUGUGAACCAGUGUAGGCUUUGGGACCUUUGUUCGGUGGAAACGCCGUUCGUAAGGAACCAAGUCUAUGAUUUAUAUAAACCUUUGUAUGUUUUUGAAUGUCCUUUAUUGGCCGCAAGGCUAGUAAAUCUAUACAACUUUCAGCAACGGAUCUCUUGGCUCUCCCAUCGAUGAAGAACGCAGCGAAAUGCGAUAAGUAAUGUGAAUUGCAGAAUUCAGUGAAUCAUCGAAUCUUUGAACGCACCUUGCGCCCUCUGGUAUUCCGGAGGGCAUGCUUGUUUGAGUGUCAUUAAAUUCUCAAAGUCAGCCUGCUUUGUUGUCGGCUUUCUUUGGAUGUGAGGGUUUGCUGGCUGUCGGGUCUGCUCCCUUUAAAUGCAUUAGUGGAAUCCUUUGUGGACGGUCACUUGGUGUGAUAAUCUAUCUACGCCGCUUGAUUCAGAAGCAAAACCUAUGGGACUCUGCUCAUAACCGUCCUUCGGGACAAAUACCUUUUGACAUUUGACCUCAAAUCAAGUAGGACUACCCGCUGAACUUAAGCAUAUCAAUAAGCGGAGGAAAAGAAACUAACAAGGAUUCCCCUAGUAACUGCGAGUGAAGCGGGAAAAGCUCAAAUUUAAAAUCUGGCGGUUUCACCGUCCGAGUUGUAAUUUAGAGAAGUGUUACCCGUG
Molecule: ribosomal RNA, 673 nt
Filed under: Mycena chlorophos
Lineage: Eukaryota; Fungi; Basidiomycota; Agaricomycetes; Agaricales; Mycenaceae
Description: eukaryotic LSU rRNA
Rfam family: 5.8S ribosomal RNA (bases 141-294)
Source: RNAcentral